RNAcentral lists this ribosomal RNA (638 nucleotides) under uncultured Pseudomonadota bacterium. Its description in RNAcentral is "bacterial SSU rRNA". It matches the Rfam family "Bacterial small subunit ribosomal RNA", at positions 66 to 693 of the family's 1533-position model. The record is from RNAcentral. Lineage: Bacteria; Pseudomonadati; Pseudomonadota.
ACGGUAACAGAAAGCAGCUUGCUGCUUUGCUGACGAGUGGCGGACGGGUGAGUAAUGUCUGGGAAACUGCCUGAUGGAGGGGGAUAACUACUGGAAACGGUAGCUAAUACCGCAUAACGUCGCAAGACCAAAGAGGGGGACCUUCGGGCCUCUUGCCAUCGGAUGUGCCCAGAUGGGAUUAGCUUGUUGGUGGGGUAACGGCUCACCAAGGCGACGAUCCCUAGCUGGUCUGAGAGGAUGACCAGCCACACUGGAACUGAGACACGGUCCAGACUCCUACGGGAGGCAGCAGUGGGGAAUAUUGCACAAUGGGCGCAAGCCUGAUGCAGCCAUGCCGCGUGUAUGAAGAAGGCCUUCGGGUUGUAAAGUACUUUCAGCGGGGAGGAAGGGAGUAAAGUUAAUACCUUUGCUCAUUGACGUUACCCGCAGAAGAAGCACCGGCUAACUCCGUGCCAGCAGCCGCGGUAAUACGGAGGGUGCAAGCGUUAAUCGGAAUUACUGGGCGUAAAGCGCACGCAGGCGGUUUGUUAAGUCAGAUGUGAAAUCCCCGGGCUCAACCUGGGAACUGCAUCUGAUACUGGCAAGCUUGAGUCUCGUAGAGGGGGGUAGAAUUCCAGGUGUAGCGGUGAAAUGCGUAG